Molecule: long non-coding RNA, 1545 nt
Organism: Acanthaster planci (crown-of-thorns starfish)
Lineage: Eukaryota; Metazoa; Echinodermata; Asteroidea; Valvatida; Acanthasteridae
Source: RefSeq, a predicted model, not a curated record
GGAGAAAAAAGAGCAUUUUUUCCCAAGCUACCUCAGCCACAGGAGAACAAAGUAAUGUCCACACUUUGUAUGUGAAACAAGUGCCUGUGUGUUUGAUAUUUGUAAUGCACAGGAUUUGAUUACCGUUUGUGUGUGUAUGCUUACUGGGCCGAAAGACAGCUUUAAUGAUGCAGUCAUCAAGGAAUAGUCCAAUUUUUCUUUGUGUGUGACUUUUUUAUAUUUAUAUUUUCCAGGAUUUAUAGUGCAAUCUGUGCUUUGUUGCUGAAUACACGUAUGUGGUUCAGUGGUUUGGUAUCUUGAAUGUUCUGGUUGAUUGUUUUAAUAUUUGACAAGCCAUAGUCUUUAUUUUAGUUCGUAAGGCAUUGGAAUCUGACAGUUUUUCCAUGAAGUAGAACUGAAGAAAUUCCCAGAUUGGAAACUAUUAACACAGAGCAUUAUCACCAGAAAUGAAUCAUAACGAGGUUGUUUGCUCUGAAGCUGAUAUGUAAUCAGUGAAAUCAUUAUCAAUCUUAGAGAUACGUGAAAUCAGCGAUACUGAUCAGCCUUGUUAGAAUUCCAAUGUUAACCAGUGUGUCUUUGUUUCAGAUUGAAAAUGAUCUUACGUAAGGUACAGUACACUUUACAAACUUAGGCUCAAUCCAUCCGUAAUCAUUAAGUGGCACUGCUUUUUGUUUAAGUGGUUUUGCCUGAUCCUAAAUAUAAUAUAAAAUGAGCUAAUUUAGAAUGGAACAAGUGUUAUGAUACAUUUGUGUCGCUUCAGAAUCCAGUGCUUUUCAGUGAAGCGUUGUAACUCUGCACUGUCAAAUUAUUGUAAAGGUUGGUUUUCCCUUUACAGAUUUUCGUGAUGGCUGAAUGCUUAUUUCCACCUGGUUGAAGACCCAUGGUACAGUGUGUAGUAUUGAAAACCUGACAUUAUGCCAGAUACUUUGCAUUUUAUCACAGUGCCCACAGCCUGCCUCAAGCUAUAUUGCCAAAGAACACUGAGGAAAACACCAGGAACUUCUGGGGGUGGCUUAGGGUAUAAGAACAACUGUUUGAAACUUGUUUUAUUUUCAUUUAUAAGUGAUUGAUAAAAUGCCCUCUUUGUAGAAAGGUUGUAGAGUUUGGAAGGAAUGACGCAGGUUUUGCCAUUUUUGGUCAGGUAGUGGAUAUUUGUGCCUGCAUCACAUGCCCAAGCCACAAUUCUGAAUCCUGAAAUAACCAAGGACAGUGUAUUUGACAGUUAAAGCUGCAGCUGGGAAUAAUGGGCCACCAGUGGCUAGCAGCUGAAGUCACUUUACCAAUAGUGUGUAUGACUCCAAGCCAUAGCCAUUAGAUUCAGACAUGACCUAAGGAUUUGGAAGAGUUGGUCUGAACGGGUUGUAUGGAAGGCAGUUUAAGAUGUAGAUAUAUGUAAUAGGGUUAGCAAUAAUGAAUUAAAAUCAACUGACGUCACAAAUGCCGAUGUUGUAUGAACUGAAAUUACUUUUUGUACCAAAACUACUUAUAUAGCAUCUUGUUUAUGCAGGACAUGAAGGUGAAAUUAAAGAAAAUGAGUUAACAUAA